Molecule: ribosomal RNA, 262 nt
Filed under: uncultured bacterium
Lineage: Bacteria
Description: partial 16S ribosomal RNA
Rfam family: Bacterial small subunit ribosomal RNA
Source: RNAcentral
AGCGAACGCUGGCGGCAGGCCUAACACAUGCAAGUCGAACGGAUCCUUCGGGAUUAGUGGCGGACGGGUGAGUAACACGUGGGAACGUGCCCUUUGGUUCGGAACAACUCAGGGAAACUUGAGCUAAUACCGGAUGUGCCCUUCGGGGAAAGGAUUUAUCGCCAUUGGAGCGGCCCGCGUCUGAUUAGCUAGUUGGUGAGGUAAAGGACUCACCAAGGCGACGAUCAGUAGCUGGUCUGAGAGGAUGAUCAGCCACAUUGGG